GUCACGAUGGCGGAGUGGUUAACGCGCUGCCCUGCUAAUUCCUCUACACUCUGAGGGUUAGCAUGCUAGGCAGUUCCUUCGGGAGCGUAGGUUCGAAUCCUACUCGUGACG
Rhypophila decipiens is the source of this 111-nucleotide non-coding RNA. The record is from the annotation of a GenBank genome assembly. NCBI's taxonomy places the organism in Eukaryota, Fungi, Ascomycota, Sordariomycetes, Sordariales, Naviculisporaceae.